UGGUUAUUUCCCUGGAAAAUAAAGUGAUC
Molecule: non-coding RNA, 29 nt
Filed under: Rattus norvegicus (Norway rat)
Lineage: Eukaryota; Metazoa; Chordata; Mammalia; Rodentia; Muridae
Source: RNAcentral